UUCCAGACAGGAAAUCUGUUGCUUGUACCUGAAGCCUCAAGCAAAGCAACUGGACUUUGCCCUCUCUGUAAUGUAUAGCCUUGGAAAAUAAUAUUCCAAGUGUGCAGACCAGAGAGGGAAACAGUGACCACUGGAGGGAAGAUGGGAAGUGGCCCUCACCACAGACUCUGGUUCCUUUUCUCCUAUGGAACAAAAGGCCUGAACCGCUGGGGAAGGACAGCAAAGCUCUUGUCUGCAGACAAAGGUUGGCCCAAGACAUUCCCUAUCAAUACCAAGCACAUAUGUAAGCUGAAAUGAAAGCAAGGCCUCAGGUAAGCAUCCCGAAAAUGAACAAGGAUCAAGGGGAAUAAUGCACUGAGGUCCUGGGAACAGUGUCCUCAAGAUUCAGCUGUGCAUGGACUGGUCAGCAUCCAGAGUGACCAGAGCAGACCUUGGGUGUGCUGUGUCUUCACAAUGAGUCCUGGAGGAGCUGUCUGGUUCAGGUAAACUCUCAACAAGCAUAUAGAUGGGUUUCUUUAACUCUGAUAUUGU
RNAcentral lists this long non-coding RNA (531 nucleotides) under Chinchilla lanigera (long-tailed chinchilla). Its description in RNAcentral is "lncRNA (ENSCLAG00000027944.1)". The record is from RNAcentral. Lineage: Eukaryota; Metazoa; Chordata; Mammalia; Rodentia; Chinchillidae.